UGAAGGGAUAAGAGUAUUAUUGUUGUCUUUCCACGUUAUUACGAAAGAUUUUCUAUUUUUUAAUUCUUUCAUUUGAGAUCUCACCAACAGAGUUAGAAGAGGCAAACAAACAGAGGUAAAAACAUAAAGUUGCGGAAAGUAGGAGUAAAAUCUCAAUUAACUUUUAGAGUCGGGUAAAAACACCAAUUCCCCUAAAAAUUUCUAGCCGGAGAUCAGCAACCCAUCUUCUCCCGAGUCCCAACGGUCAAAAGCAAUGGAUGUCACCGCCGGCCUCCCUCCCCCAACCGCCCACCCCGCAUGGCCCCUCCCUCUCCGAGGCACGGAUGGCUACUACUUCACGAGGGCGGAGCUCCGGCGGCUUGCACUGCUCCAUCUGACGCGGCGGGGCGUCCACAUCUGCCGGGGAGUGACAAGACGCUGCCGCCCGCCAGGUGUUCGACGAUGAAAUAUGAUGGUGCCUCCAGAGGAAGUGAUGAAGAGGGUGUGGGUUCAUUCAUCAUAGCUUGCAAGACACCCCAUGCUUCUUUCGCAAGAUCAGGGCGCUCCUUUCUCUCAUACCGACAACAUUUCAGAGCUAGGCUUGCCAACUCUUCAGCGAACCCAGGAGGCCAGUUCCCUGCUGAGGUGUCAAGUAUUUCAUGCAAGACUCCACUGUUCAAGGCUGCCUCUACCUCAUUCUGAAGGCCUAGGGGGCUCUUGCCAGUUAGCAAACGCAGCAGUACAACUCCGAAAGAGUAGACAUCAUACUGCGCUGUGAGCUCCCCUGAAGAUAUGUACCCUGGAUCCAUGUACCCUAGUGUGCCUUUUAUUUGGUCUGUUCUGUGGUAAGGGGUGAUAGUGGUGUUUGUCAGAUUUAAGGAACGAGAAAUACCAAAGUCCCCUAGCUUGCCUACAAAGUUAGCGUCAAGGAGGACGUUGUCAGGUUUCAGAUCACCAUGGGCAAUGCUUUUUGGUUUGUUGGAGUGGAGGAAGAUAAGCGCUGUGCAGAUGUCAGCUGCAAUUCUGAUGCGCAUUCGCCAUGGGAGUGGCUCGGUGUGGUCCUUGCACUGGAGGCGGUCCUCUAGGCUUCCGUUUGGCAAGAAUUCAUAAACCAGCAUUUUGGGAUCUCUGCACACUCCUAUGAGAAUGACAAGAGCUGACUACUGAAGCAGGUAAUGGUGAUCCAUCCAUACUGUCCGAAUCCUUUAGACUUGAUGAGGAGGACCCUUCAUUGCUUGGGUGGCUGGAGUUCGGAGAGAAAUUUCUUGGUUUCACAUGUAUUGAGUGCUGCGUUAUAUGCAACAUCCUCUCCACAUUGUUUGCUAUCAAUACUGGCGAGGGGUAACUAACUGAAUUUGACCGUCGAGGAAGGAAUGGUUGAUCAGGAGAGCCCAUGUAACCAGGAUGCCCUGGUGGCAGCGACACUGAUCUUGCAGUUUGCCCAAAAAAUAAUGGUGGGUCGUUGCUUGAGUUGCGAUUGUUAUAUAAUUGGCUUCAUGCUGCACGGACACAUGAAGGGUUCAUACCUAGUGCAAGCAAGGGAGCCUUUGCAAAUGAAGAAUAUCUGGCAAUAAGGUUUGGCCUGUUGAUGCACGAUGGCUGCAACUUUUGACUUGGGCUGGAGGACAUGCAGCAGGCCAAGGUUGAGAUCACUGCCGAGGAGCCCGAGGUUCUGAGCCGCGCUGAGGAUGGACUUGCCGUCCUUGAAGUCCUUCCCAACGGCCACAUAAACCUUCCCACCGCCAUCAUUGUCGACCA
Panicum virgatum (switchgrass) is the source of this 1737-nucleotide long non-coding RNA. RefSeq lists it as uncharacterized. The transcript is spliced from 5 exons. NCBI's taxonomy places the organism in Eukaryota, Viridiplantae, Streptophyta, Magnoliopsida, Poales, Poaceae. The record is from RefSeq and is a predicted model, not a curated record.